This is a small nucleolar RNA of Hyla sarda, 89 nucleotides long. The record is from RefSeq and is a predicted model, not a curated record. NCBI's taxonomy places the organism in Eukaryota, Metazoa, Chordata, Amphibia, Anura, Hylidae.
CAGUCCCAAUGAUGUCAGCACUGGGCUCUGAAACCCAUGUAUGAGAAUUGUGCCCCACUGUCUUGACAUGCAGUGGGUCUGAGGGACAA